This 414-nucleotide ribosomal RNA is filed under the name uncultured bacterium. Its description in RNAcentral is "bacterial SSU rRNA". It matches the Rfam family "Bacterial small subunit ribosomal RNA", at positions 355 to 766 of the family's 1533-position model. The record is from RNAcentral.
UGAGGAAUAUUGGGCAAUGCCCGCAAGGGUGACCCAGCAACGCCGCGUGGAGGAUGAAUGUCGUAAGAUUGUAAACUCCUGUUAGAGGGGAAGAAUAGUACCGGUUGGACCGGUAUAUGACUGUACCCUCAGAGAAAGCCCCGGCUAACUACGUGCCAGCAGCCGCGGUAAUACGUAGGGGGCAAGCGUUGUCCGGAUUUACUGGGUGUAAAGGGCGCGCAGGCGGGAUAAAAAGUCAGUGGUGAAAUCCUACAGCUUAACUGUAGAACUGCCUUUGAUACUUUUAUGCUUGAGUUCGGGAGAGAGAGACGGAAUUCCAGGUGUAGUGGUGAAAUACGUAGAUAUCAGGAAGAACUCCGGUUGCGAAGGCGGUCGGUUGGUCCGACACUGACGCUGAGGCGCGAAAGCGUGGGG